RNAcentral lists this ribosomal RNA (338 nucleotides) under Haemophilus influenzae. RNAcentral describes it as "bacterial SSU rRNA". It matches the Rfam family "Bacterial small subunit ribosomal RNA", at positions 55 to 389 of the family's 1533-position model. The record is from RNAcentral. Lineage: Bacteria; Pseudomonadati; Pseudomonadota; Gammaproteobacteria; Pasteurellales; Pasteurellaceae.
AUGCAAGUCGAACGGUAGCAGGAGAAAGCUUGCUUUCUUGCUGACGAGUGGCGGACGGGUGAGUAAUGCUUGGGAAUCUGGCUUAUGGAGGGGGAUAACGACGGGAAACUGUCGCUAAUACCGCGUAUUAUCGGAAGAUGAAAGUGCGGGACUGAGAGGCCGCAUGCCAUAGGAUGAGCCCAAGUGGGAUUAGGUAGUUGGUGGGGUAAAGGCCUACCAAGCCUGCGAUCUCUAGCUGGUCUGAGAGGAUGACCAGCCACACUGGAACUGAGACACGGUCCAGACUCCUACGGGAGGCAGCAGUGGGGAAUAUUGCGCAAUGGGGGGAACCCUGACGC